GGGGGCGUAAUGGUUUCGACGGGGAUUUAGACAAUAGGAAUAGCCAUCUGCGGACGGUGCCCGCGCAUCAAAACCGAUCCAAAAACAACUGACAACUCUUAUCAGUUACAAGCCGCGUAGUUAACGCAGCCGUCGGCCUGAGAACGCUCGCCGCCUCAGAUACCGGCGUCGAUUAGGCGAGGGAUUCGAGUAAUGUAAGCUUUGCCAUUGCCGAAGAUAUAUGAAGCUACCCGACCGCGCGUCUUGUCGGCUUGCCGCGCGUAAAGGGAACGUGUUGAGGGCGCUUGAUUCAAAUCAGGCGCGGUUUAACAAAAAUAACCGACUGUGAUGGGAGAAGUUCCUACUGCCAGAUUUUCGGACCCGGGUUCGAUUCCCGGCGCCUCCAUAA
This 388-nucleotide transfer-messenger RNA is filed under the name Clostridiales bacterium. It matches the Rfam family "transfer-messenger RNA". Rfam says of the family: Bacterial tmRNA, also known as 10Sa RNA or SsrA, is named for its dual tRNA and mRNA-like properties. Its role is to liberate the mRNA from a stalled ribosome. To accomplish this part of the tmRNA is used as a reading frame that ends in a translation stop signal. The record is from RNAcentral. Lineage: Bacteria; Bacillati; Bacillota; Clostridia; Eubacteriales.